Rosa rugosa (rugosa rose) is the source of this 2455-nucleotide long non-coding RNA. RefSeq lists it as uncharacterized. NCBI's taxonomy places the organism in Eukaryota, Viridiplantae, Streptophyta, Magnoliopsida, Rosales, Rosaceae. The transcript has 3 exons. The record is from RefSeq and is a predicted model, not a curated record.
GACAGUGAAGAUUUUAAACCAUAUGUGUUCCCUCCAUAUUUUGACAUUUAUUUUUAUGUAAUACUCUUGCGACAGUGCAGUACUUUUCUAUUGUGUGAGCCACUCGAGAAUUUAUUGAAGUUUAAUUGUGUCCCCAUACCUAGCAACAACCAACAUCUGUCCAAAAGCAAAAAAUUAAAACAUAAAACCUCUCAUUGAUCGUCCGAUUUGGAUUGCUGUCCUUCACCGUCCUCCUCCGCCUAGGUUUGCCUGGGUUUUGUUUACAGAAAUUGAAAUGGGUUUGUUGGUCAUUGUGUUUCUCUAAUGAUUGCGAGUUUCUCUUAGAUAUAGCGUUUACGAGUAAUUGUGAUUAGAUUUAGGGUUUGUCUGACUUCAUAUUUCGAAUUUUACUUCACUGGGUUGCUGAGAAACUGACGAGGAAGUUUUUGAACUUUUGUGGGCUUUGUUCUUUGAGCACUGUGUAUGUAGUACAUACUAUGUACUGUCUCGAAUUUUAUUUGGAAUUGGGUUUUCAGUUUUGUUAAAUCGUUAAACUGAUGAAGAAUGAGAAGCUUUAUGCAUCUCAGGGAGGACCCAUCAUUUUAUCCCAAGUUGAAGUUUCUAAAGGAGUAAAGGAGAUUAAAUGUUGUCUGUCAAAUAUCUCAGAUUGAAAACGAGUAUGGAAACAUUGGUAAAGCAUAUGGGCCUGCUUCCAAAACCUACAUUAAUUGGGCAGCAAACAUGGCUGUGUCUUUGGAUACAGAGGUGCCCUGGGUCAUGUGCCAGCAAGCAGAUGCUCCUUCUUCAGUGAUCAACACUUGCAAUGGAUUUUACUGUGAUCAAUUCACCCCAAAUUCUAACAGCACACCCAAAAUGUGGACCGAGAAUUGGAGUGGAUGGUAAGGAGCCUUUGGGGACUCCACUCAUUAGCAAGGCCACCCAGUGUGAGGGGACUCUACUCAUUAGCAAAUAUCCACUUUUUAAGAUAUACUGUCUUUUUGGAUUAUGUUGCCUGGGUCCUGAGCCUCCGAAGGAUACAAAUCUCCAUGGAAUAUGGAAGAAAGUUCAACCUUUUGCUUACCAUGGUGGAACCAACUUUGGCCAGUCUAGUGGAGGACCUUUUAUUGCUACAAGUUAUGUCUGAUGCUCCACUCGAUGAGUAUGGCAUGUGGUAUCUCUGUAUUAAUGCUUUACUAUCUAUAUAGAACUCUUCGUCAUUAGCGAGUGUAAAUGAACUGACAUUUUCUGUCAACCUGAUGCUUCGACAUCAAGGGGAUGGGCAAUACUUUAAUCUUGAAAUGUAGUUUUUAUUGUGAGAAGACAUACUUAUUAGAUCAUUAACACUCAAAAUAUAUGCUGCUGCACUUCGGCAGAUUAAUAUAAGUUGCUGUCAGCAUUAAGAAUGCCAUAGAGAAUCAACUUAACAAUUCAUUUAUGUUGUAGGACUUCUUAGGCAGCCAAAAUGGGGUCAUCUAAAAGAUGUGCAUAAAGCGAUAAAGCUUUGUGAAGCUGCAAUGGUGGCCACUGACCCAACAGUUUCUUUUCUUGGUCAAAACAUUGAGGUAGAAUCCUUUACUUUUGUUUGAGAUUGAUUUGUGACUAUCAUAAGAAUAUGUAGCUGAACUUCUUCUUGAGUUCUGGUUUUCAAGAUCCCAGCCUAGGUGAAUGGCUCCAUAUGGCCAUAUAUAUAGUGCGGACUUGGCACUACCUAUUUAGUGUUUACCAGCUCAACAGUGCAAUAGAGCUUACAACUUAGACAAGCUAAAACUUUUAGAAUAUCUGAGAAGUGAUAUCUGGGGAUUCUGAACUUAGAGCUUUCUCAAGAUGUAUUAAUUACCUUUUCAGCUAGUCGUCUUUCUUUCAACAUUUAAAUUUCCUUUCUACAUCAAUUUGGCAGCAUUGAUGUCAAAGAUGGAUAUAAAGAUGAUCUUCACGUGCAAUCACUUGGUCAUGCUUUUCAUGUUUUUGUCAAUGGAAAGCUUGCAGGUGAUCUAUAAAUUAACUACUUUGAAUUACAUAUAUUUGGUUAUACCCAUCUGCCCUUUCUGAGUUUCAAAUUUUAAUUUUAUACAUUUCUUGUAUUUGCUUGGGUUCCUUAGUGUAAAUCUGGUGGCUUCUUUGGUUACAAUUGCAAAUACUCUGGAGAGAUCAUUCCUAAGAUAGGAUUCCUCUGAGGAGUGUUGAGGAAUGACCAUUGCCUUUUCUUAAGUUAGUUUUAAUUAGCAAUUCUUGUAAACUUUGAAAGUUUAAACGAUAAAUCUUCUGCCAACUACAGUGCAACAAAUCUUUAAAAUUGUGCCUCUCAUAGGUCACAAUUAAACUUAGGGUUUGAUCUCUUUCUAACUUAGUGGUCGAAUGGUUAGAUACUUACAAUCCUGAAUUUUCAAAGUUAAGAAACUUCUUGACUACCAACCACCACUGUCACUUGGAAUUGUUUUCGUUGUUUUAUUAUUGGAUUUCUUUUCUAAUUUAAUCA